RNAcentral lists this transfer RNA (73 nucleotides) under Chloroflexi bacterium 13_1_40CM_4_68_4. Its description in RNAcentral is "tRNA-Gly". It matches the Rfam family "tRNA". From Rfam's summary of the family: Transfer RNA (tRNA) molecules are approximately 80 nucleotides in length. Their secondary structure includes four short double-helical elements and three loops (D, anti-codon, and T loops). Further hydrogen bonds mediate the characteristic L-shaped molecular structure. tRNAs have two regions of fundamental functional importance: the anti-codon, which is responsible for specific mRNA codon recognition, and the 3' end, to which the tRNAs corresponding amino acid is attached (by aminoacyl-tRNA synthetases). tRNAs cope with the degeneracy of the genetic code in two manners: having more than one tRNA (with a specific anti-codon) for a particular amino acid; and 'wobble' base-pairing, i.e. permitting non-standard base-pairing at the 3rd anti-codon position. The record is from RNAcentral. Lineage: Bacteria; Bacillati; Chloroflexota.
GCGGGAGUAGCUCAGUUGGUGGAGCACGAGUUUUCCAAACUCGGGGUCGCGGGUUCGAGCCCCGUCUCCCGCU